This 698-nucleotide ribosomal RNA is filed under the name uncultured Fulvivirga sp. RNAcentral's name for it is "bacterial SSU rRNA". It matches the Rfam family "Bacterial small subunit ribosomal RNA", at positions 28 to 749 of the family's 1533-position model. The record is from RNAcentral. Lineage: Bacteria; Pseudomonadati; Bacteroidota; Cytophagia; Cytophagales; Fulvivirgaceae.
GACGAACGCUGGCGGCGUGCUUAACACAUGCAAGUCGAGCGAGGUACAGCAAUGUACCUAGCGGCGGACGGGUGAGUAACACGUGGGUAACCUGCCCUAAACAGGGGGAUAGCCACUCGAAAGGGUGAUUAAUACCGCAUAAAAAGUACCUAUCGCAUGGCAGGAACUUUAAAGGAGCAAUCCGGUAUAGGAGGGACCCGCGGCCCAUUAGCUAGUUGGUGAGGUAACGGCUCACCAAGGCGACGAUGGGUAGCCGAUCUGAGAGGAUGACCGGCCACAUUGGAACUGAGAAACGGUCCAGACUCCUACGGGAGGCAGCAGUGGGGAAUAUUGCGCAAUGGACGAAAGUCUGACGCAGCAACGCCGCGUGAGUGAAGAAGGCCUUCGGGUCGUAAAGCUCUGUCUUCGCUGACGAUAAUGACGGUAAGCGAGGAGGAAGCCACGGCUAACUACGUGCCAGCAGCCGCGGUAAUACGUAGGUGGCGAGCGUUGUCCGGAAUUACUGGGCGUAAAGGGUGCGUAGGCGGAUAUUUAAGUCAGAUGUGAAAUUCCGGGGCUUAACUUCGGAAUUGCAUUUGAAACUGGGUAUCUAGAGUGCAGGAGAGGGAAGCGGAAUUCCUAGUGUAGCGGUGAAAUGCGUAGAUAUUAGGAAGAACACCAGUGGCGAAGGCGGCUUUCUGGACUGUAACUGACGCUGA